RNAcentral lists this ribosomal RNA (274 nucleotides) under Alkalihalobacillus alcalophilus. RNAcentral's name for it is "Bacillus alcalophilus partial 16S rRNA". It matches the Rfam family "Bacterial small subunit ribosomal RNA", at positions 68 to 334 of the family's 1533-position model. Lineage: Bacteria; Bacillati; Bacillota; Bacilli; Caryophanales; Bacillaceae. The record is from RNAcentral.
GACCAAAGGGAGCUUGCUCCAGAGGUUAGCGGCGGACGGGUGAGUAACACGUGGGCAACCUGCCCUGUAGACUGGGAUAACAUCGAGAAAUCGGUGCUAAUACCGGAUAAUCAAAGGAAUCACAUGGUUCUUUUGUAAAAGAUGGCUCCGGCUAUCACUACGGGAUGGGCCCGCGGCGCAUUAGCUAGUUGGUAAGGUAAUGGCUUACCAAGGCGACGAUGCGUAGCCGACCUGAGAGGGUGAUCGGCCACACUGGGACUGAGACACGGCCCAG